Tachyglossus aculeatus (Australian echidna) is the source of this 574-nucleotide non-coding RNA. NCBI's taxonomy places the organism in Eukaryota, Metazoa, Chordata, Mammalia, Monotremata, Tachyglossidae. The record is from the annotation of a RefSeq genome assembly.
GGUCUGGGUCUGCAGUUCUCGACCUAGAGGUGGCAACAUGGUCUCCAGGGCGCAACUCCUCUGCCUCCUGCUGCUCUGUGCCCGCGAAUCCAUGGGGAACGUGGUGGUGACUCAGUCUCCAGAAUUCGUGACGGAGUCUCCAGGAGGCAGCGUCACUAUCAACUGCAAACUCAGUUCUAGUAGUUCCUAUGUUGCCUGGUACCAACAGAAACCCGGACAAACUCCAAAACUCCUUAUCUAUGAUACCUCUAAGCGUCCCUCUGGGGUCCCUGACCGGUUCAGUGGCAGUGGGUCUGGGACUGACUUCACCUUCACCAUCAGCAGAGUGGAAGUCGAUGAUGCUGCAGAUUAUUACUGUCAGAAAUCUUGGGGUAGCCCUCCCACAAUGCUCCAGCCCUGCACAAAAACCUCCCUGAACCAUUUGAUUUCUAGUGACAAAGUCUUGCAGGGGACAUUUGUGGAUUGUGGGAGUGGGGAGCAGAUCGAGGAGCAUAAGCCUGGUUACGAGAUCUCUUCCCUGGAGUUGACCCUCGUGGCAGGGGGACAGAGUCUCUGGCACGAGAUUUACCCCUGA